GAAUUGCCUUCAAAACAGACACGAGGCGGAGCUCAUAUUAUCUUUCAAGUUUAACAUUAAGGUGCUUAUAAUGUGACUGGAUCAUCUUGAAAGUCCUAUAUCAACACAUGCCUUUCUGUACCUAUAUACUGUUUCAUGUUUCAACAUAUCAGCGCCUUUAUUUUCAUAAAAGUUUAUAAACUCACAUUAACAUUCAUUAUUGUUUAUUUGAAAGAGGUUUCAUGCAGAGUCAAUGUGGAACAUGAUGUGACACGCAAUAGUGAAAUGAUGUUUUCAGAUUUGAAGGUGGUAUUAUAUCUAACAUGAGUGUGCAGACAUAAUUUUAUUGUUAAAGUAUAUCUGAUUACCUGGUUUCCAAAUCCAAUGCCAACGCCAAGCAUGAUUCUACCUAGGAGAAGCAUGGCCAGAUUAACAGCUGCUGCAUUGAGAGCUGAUCCAAUAAGAAAGCUGAUUCCACCACCAAUUAUACUUGCCCUUCGCCCGUAUUUCCUUGUCACUGGAGACGCCAGUAGAGAUGCAACUAAACCAGCAAGGUAAAGAGAUGAGGUAAACAAUGCAAGCCCUUGAUUGUUGUACUUGCAGUAAUUGCUUUCAUGUGCGUGCUCUUUACUUCUGUAUACUGACGGGAAAAAUUCCUGGAGGAACUCAUCCAUGGAAGUCACCCCACCUGGUAGCCAUUAAACAAGCAUAAAAGAAAUUUCAAUAUACAAGGAAUGACUCUCCCUUUCUUCAACAAGCAUCCAGUGAAAUGGAUAAACUGAAGCCUAAAAUCCAUGGGAUACUCCAAUAUCAGAGGCCACAAAAUAUGUUUCUAAUGUCCUAAACCCAAAACAGGAUUCAGUACAUCUGGUAUCUCGAUUGGAGAGCAAGUGAAUGAUGAUGAAACACUGUAGGUUGUAUCUAUCAAUGUGCCAUUAUUAUAUGUUAAUUGGGGAUUGCAUCACCUGGAAUAAAGUAGUGACGAUGAAAAGGUUCCAGAAAUGAAUCAAACAUGAUU
Molecule: long non-coding RNA, 997 nt
Organism: Prosopis cineraria
Lineage: Eukaryota; Viridiplantae; Streptophyta; Magnoliopsida; Fabales; Fabaceae
Exons: 2
Source: RefSeq, a predicted model, not a curated record